UACAUGCAAGUCGAGCGAAUCGAUGGGAGCUUGCUCCCUGAGAUUAGCGGCGGACGGGUGAGUAACACGUGGGCAACCUGCCUAUAAGACUGGGAUAACUUCGGGAAACCGGAGCUAAUACCGGAUACGUUCUUUUCUCGCAUGAGAGAAGAUGGAAAGACGGUUUCGGCUGUCACUUAUAGAUGGGCCCGCGGCGCAUUAGCUAGUUGGUGAGGUAAUGGCUCACCAAGGCGACGAUGCGUAGCCGACCUGAGAGGGUGAUCGGCCACACUGGGACUGAGACACGGCCCAGACUCCUACGGGAGGCAGCAGUAGGGAAUCUUCCGCAAUGGACGAAAGUCUGACGGAGCAACGCCGCGUGAACGAAGAAGGCCUUCGGGUCGUAAAGUUCUGUUGUUAGGGAAGAACAAGUACCAGAGUAACUGCUGGUACCUUGACGGUACCUAA
This 447-nucleotide ribosomal RNA is filed under the name Peribacillus simplex. Its description in RNAcentral is "bacterial SSU rRNA". It matches the Rfam family "Bacterial small subunit ribosomal RNA", at positions 52 to 482 of the family's 1533-position model. The record is from RNAcentral. Lineage: Bacteria; Bacillati; Bacillota; Bacilli; Caryophanales; Bacillaceae.